GACGAACGCUGGCGGCGUGCCUAAUACAUGCAAGUCGAACGCUUCUUUCCUCCCGAGUGCUUGCACUCCAUUGGAAAGAGGAGUGGCGGACGGGUGAGUAACACGUGGGUAACCUACCCAUCAGAGGGGGAUAACACUUGGAAACAGGUGCUAAUACCGCAUAACAGUUUAUGCCGCAUGGCAUAAGAGUGAAAGGCGCUUUCGGGUGUCGCUGAUGGAUGGACCCGCGGUGCAUUAGCUAGUUGGUGAGGUAACGGCUCACCAAGGCCACGAUGCAUAGCCGACCUGAGAGGGUGAUCGGCCACACUGGGACUGAGACACGGCCCAGACUCCUACGGGAGGCAGCAGUAGGGAAUCUUCGGCAAAGGACGAAAGUCUGACCGAGCAACGCCGCGUGAGUGAAGAAGGUUUUCGGAUCGUAAAACUCUGUUGUUAGAGAAGAACAAGGACGUUAGUAACUGAACGUCCCCUGACGGUAUCUAACCAGAAAGCCACGGCUAACUACGUG
RNAcentral lists this ribosomal RNA (508 nucleotides) under uncultured bacterium. Its description in RNAcentral is "partial 16S ribosomal RNA". It matches the Rfam family "Bacterial small subunit ribosomal RNA", at positions 28 to 507 of the family's 1533-position model. The record is from RNAcentral.